GACGAACGCUGGCGGCGUGCCUAACACAUGCAAGUCGAGCGGAGUCGAUCGACGGAAGCCUUCGGGCGGAAGAUGGUUGACUUAGCGGCGGAUGGGUGAGUAACGCGUGGGCAACCUGCCUCGAAGACCGGGAUAACAGCCCGAAAGGGCUGCUAAUACCGGAUGUGGUCAAGGAUCCGCAUGGAUUUUUGAUUAAAGGGGAAACCCGUUUCGAGAUGGGCCCGCGUCCUAUCAGCUAGUUGGUGAGGUAAAAGCUCACCAAGGCGACGACGGGUAGCCGGCCUGAGAGGGUGACCGGCCACACUGGAACUGAGACACGGUCCAGACUCCUACGGGGGCAGCAGUGGGGAAUCUUCCACAAUGGGCGAAAGCCUGAUGGAGCGACGCCGCGUGAGCGAAGAAGGCCUCGGUUGUAAAGCUCUGUCUGGAGGGACGAAGGAAGUGACGGUACCUCCGGAGGAAGCCACGGCUAACUACGUGCCAGCAGCCGCGGUAACACGAGAGUA
This 506-nucleotide ribosomal RNA is filed under the name uncultured bacterium. RNAcentral describes it as "bacterial SSU rRNA". It matches the Rfam family "Bacterial small subunit ribosomal RNA", at positions 28 to 533 of the family's 1533-position model. The record is from RNAcentral.